GACGAACGCUGGCGGCGUGCUUAAUACAUGCAAGUCGAGCGAGGCCCAUCCAGUGGCAACACUGGGGAAGGCCGAGCGGCGAACGGGUGAGUAACACGUGAGCAACCUGCCCCGAAGUCUGGAAUAACAUCGGGAAACCGGUGCUAAUACCGGAUUGCCCCACCUGACCGCAUGAUCGGGUGAGGAAAGAUCUAUCGCGUUCGGGGAGGGGCUCGCGGCCUAUCAGCUAGNGGCGGGUAACGGCCCACCAAGGCGUCGACGGGUAGCUGGUCUGAGAGGACGACCAGCCACACUGGGACUGAGACACGGCCCAGACUCCGUACGGGAGGCAGCAGUAGGGAAUCUUGCGCAAUGGGCGAAAGCCGGACGCAGCAACGCCGCGUGGGGA
RNAcentral lists this ribosomal RNA (388 nucleotides) under uncultured bacterium. RNAcentral describes it as "partial 16S ribosomal RNA". It matches the Rfam family "Bacterial small subunit ribosomal RNA", at positions 28 to 407 of the family's 1533-position model. The record is from RNAcentral.